GGGCUUGACAUCCCACGAAUCUCUUCGAAAGACGGGAGUGCCCGCAAGGGAGCGCGGAGACAGGUGGUGCAUGGCUGUCGUCAGCUCGUGUCGUGAGAUGUUGGGUUAAGUCCCGCAACGAGCGCAACCCUCACCUCUUGUUGCCACCAGGUCAUGCUGGGCACUCUAGAGGAACUGCCCCGGUCAACGGGGAGGAAGGCGGGGAUGACGUCAAGUCAUCAUGCCCCUUACGUCCUGGGCUACACACGUGCUACAAUGGCCGGUACAAAGGGAUGCCACACCGCGAGGUAGAGCUAAACCCAAAAAGCCGGUCUAAGUUCAGAUUGGAGUCUGCAACUCGACUCCAUGAAGGAGGAAUCGCUAGUAAUCGCGUAUCAGCACGACGCGGUGAAUACGUUCCCGGGCCUUGUACACACCGCCCGUCACACCACGAAAGCCCGUUGUACUCGAAGUCGCUGAG
This 460-nucleotide ribosomal RNA is filed under the name uncultured Methylomirabilota bacterium. Its description in RNAcentral is "bacterial SSU rRNA". It matches the Rfam family "Bacterial small subunit ribosomal RNA", at positions 977 to 1434 of the family's 1533-position model. The record is from RNAcentral. Lineage: Bacteria; Methylomirabilota (SeqCode).